This 492-nucleotide ribosomal RNA is filed under the name uncultured bacterium. RNAcentral's name for it is "partial 16S ribosomal RNA". It matches the Rfam family "Bacterial small subunit ribosomal RNA", at positions 29 to 507 of the family's 1533-position model. The record is from RNAcentral.
AGUGAACGCUGGCGGUAGGCCUAACACAUGCAAGUCGAACGGCAGCACAGUAAGAGCUUGCUCUUACGGGUGGCGAGUGGCGGACGGGUGAGGAAUACAUCGGAAUCUACUUUUUCGUGGGGGAUAACGUAGGGAAACUUACGCUAAUACCGCAAACGACCUACGGGUGAAAGAAGGGGAUCUUCGGACCUUGCGCGAUUGAAUGAGCCGAUGUCGGAUUAGCUAGUUGGCGGGGUAAAGGCCCACCAAGGCGACGAUCCGUAGCUGGUCUGAGAGGAUGAUCAGCCACACUGGAACUGAGACACGGUCCAGACUCCUACGGGAGGCAGCAGUGGGGAAUAUUGGACAAUGGGCGCAAGCCUGAUCCAGCCAUACCGCGUGGGUGAAGAAGGCCUUCGGGUUGUAAAGCCCUUUUGUUGGGAAAGAAAAGCAGCAGGUUAAUACCCCGCUGUUCUGACGGUACCCAAAGAAUAAGCACCGGCUAACUUCGUG